This 253-nucleotide ribosomal RNA is filed under the name uncultured bacterium. RNAcentral describes it as "partial 16S ribosomal RNA". It matches the Rfam family "Bacterial small subunit ribosomal RNA", at positions 524 to 776 of the family's 1533-position model. The record is from RNAcentral.
UACAGAGGGUGCGAGCGUUAAUCGGAAUUACUGGGCGUAAAGCGCGCGUAGGUGGCUUUGCAAGUCGGGUGUGAAAUCCCCAGGCUUAACCUGGGAACUGCAUUCGAGACUGCAUUGCUAGAGUAUGGGAGAGGGAAGUGGAAUUUCCGGUGUAGCGGUGAAAUGCGUAGAUAUCGGAAGGAACAUCAGUGGCGAAAGCGACUUCCUGGACCAAUACUGACGCUCAUGUGCGAAAGCGUGGGGAGCAAACAGG